RNAcentral lists this transfer RNA (67 nucleotides) under human gut metagenome. It matches the Rfam family "tRNA". Rfam says of the family: Transfer RNA (tRNA) molecules are approximately 80 nucleotides in length. Their secondary structure includes four short double-helical elements and three loops (D, anti-codon, and T loops). Further hydrogen bonds mediate the characteristic L-shaped molecular structure. tRNAs have two regions of fundamental functional importance: the anti-codon, which is responsible for specific mRNA codon recognition, and the 3' end, to which the tRNAs corresponding amino acid is attached (by aminoacyl-tRNA synthetases). tRNAs cope with the degeneracy of the genetic code in two manners: having more than one tRNA (with a specific anti-codon) for a particular amino acid; and 'wobble' base-pairing, i.e. permitting non-standard base-pairing at the 3rd anti-codon position. RNAcentral also lists the same sequence under 1 other name. The record is from RNAcentral.
CGGAUAGCUCAGUUGGUAGAGCGGAGGACUGAAAAUCCUUGUGUCCCUGGUUCGAUUCCUGGUCCGG